Molecule: ribosomal RNA, 481 nt
Filed under: uncultured bacterium
Lineage: Bacteria
Description: partial 16S ribosomal RNA
Rfam family: Bacterial small subunit ribosomal RNA
Source: RNAcentral
GAUGAACGCUGGCGGCGUGCUUAACACAUGCAAGUCGAACGAAGCACUUUAUUUGAUUUCCUUCGGGACUGAUUAUUUUGUGACUGAGUGGCGGACGGGUGAGUAACGCGUGGGUAACCUGCCUUUUACAGGGGGAUAACAGUUGGAAACGGCUGCUAAUACCGCAUAAGCGCACAGCAUCGCAUGAUGCAGUGUGAAAAACUCCGGUGGUAUAAGAUGGACCCGCGUUGGAUUAGCUAGUUGGUGAGGUAACGGCCCACCAAGGCGACGAUCCAUAGCCGACCUGAGAGGGUGACCGGCCACAUUGGGACUGAGACACGGCACAAACUCCUACGGGAGGCAGCAGUGGGGAAUAUUGCACAAUGGGCGAAAGCCUGAUGCAGCGACGCCGCGUGAGCGAAGAAGUAUUUCGGGAUGUAAAGCUCUAUCAGCAGGGAAGAUAAUGACGGUACCUGACUAAGAAGCACCGGCUAAAUACGUG